CCUACGGGAGGCUGCAGUGGGGAAUAUUGGACAAUGGGGGGAACCCUGAUCCAGCCAUGCCGCGUGUGUGAAGAAGGCCCUCGGGUUGUAAAGCACUUUCAGUGAGGAAGAACGCCUGGUGGUUAAUACCCAUCAGGAAAGACAUCACUCACAGAAGAAGCACCGGCUAACUCCGUGCCAGCAGCCGCGGUAAUACGGAGGGUGCGAGCGUUAAUCGGAAUUACUGGGGCGUAAAGCGCGCGUAGGUGGCUUGAUAAGCCGGUUGUGAAAGCCCCGGGCUCAACCUGGGAACGGCAUCCGGAACUGUCAAGCUAGAGUGCAGGAGAGGAAGGUAGAAUUCCCGGUGUAGCGGUGAAAUGCGUAGAGAUCGGGAGGAAUACCAGUGGCGAAGGCGGCCUUCUGGACUGACACUGACACUGAGGUGCGAAAGCGUGGGUAGCAAACAGGAUUAGAUACCCGUGUAGUC
This 466-nucleotide ribosomal RNA is filed under the name Vreelandella stevensii. RNAcentral describes it as "partial 16S ribosomal RNA". It matches the Rfam family "Bacterial small subunit ribosomal RNA", at positions 338 to 795 of the family's 1533-position model. Lineage: Bacteria; Pseudomonadati; Pseudomonadota; Gammaproteobacteria; Oceanospirillales; Halomonadaceae. The record is from RNAcentral.